Molecule: unclassified non-coding RNA, 330 nt
Filed under: Hevea brasiliensis (rubber tree)
Lineage: Eukaryota; Viridiplantae; Streptophyta; Magnoliopsida; Malpighiales; Euphorbiaceae
Source: RNAcentral
AACUCGCACAGUCCAUUUUGGAAAAGCAUCAGCACAUGAGAAAGCAUGCUAUACUGCGGUAUGUGACUUUAGUUGCAUUCUAUGGACAUAUAAUUUGUUUGGAAAUCAAGUUUUGUGUAGCUCUGACACUGAGUUCCUGUGGUUAAUUUUUUUCUCUUAUCAAAUUUAUUGAUGGAUUGUACUCUUGUUUUUAUUGUACAUGAAGGGAAUUCAUUUCUUUUUGAAUUUAUGACAUUGAUAUUUGUUGUUUGUACUAUUAUUAUUGUAUGGAUGUUAACAUGUGAAGUUGGUCUCAUGCAGGUUCUUAAGGGUCACAUUGCCCUCGGUAAU